AUGCGAAGGUCCCAAGCGUUAUUCGGAAUCACUGGGCGUAAAGAGUACGUAGGCGGUUUGGUAAGUCAGGUGUGAAAUCCCGGAGCUCAACUCCGGAACUGCAUCCGAUACUGCCAGACUUGAGUAAUGGAGAGGCAGGUGGAAUUCUCGGUGUAGCAGUGAAAUGCGUGGAUAUCGAGAGGAAGACCAAUGGCGAAGGCAGCCUGCUGGACAUUUACUGACGCUGAGGUACGAAGGCUAGGGGAGCGAAAGGGAUUAGAAACCCCAGUAGUCC
This 274-nucleotide ribosomal RNA is filed under the name uncultured bacterium. RNAcentral describes it as "partial 16S ribosomal RNA". It matches the Rfam family "Bacterial small subunit ribosomal RNA", at positions 523 to 796 of the family's 1533-position model. The record is from RNAcentral.